GCCCCUAUAGCUCAGAGGCAGAGCACUAGUCUCGUAAACUAGGGGUCAUGAGUUCGAUUCUCAUUGGGGGCA
RNAcentral lists this transfer RNA (72 nucleotides) under Tigriopus californicus. Its description in RNAcentral is "tRNA-Thr for anticodon CGU". It matches the Rfam family "tRNA". Rfam says of the family: Transfer RNA (tRNA) molecules are approximately 80 nucleotides in length. Their secondary structure includes four short double-helical elements and three loops (D, anti-codon, and T loops). The record is from Rfam by way of RNAcentral. Lineage: Eukaryota; Metazoa; Arthropoda; Copepoda; Harpacticoida; Harpacticidae.